UAUAUAAACUCUACAUAUUGAGGAGUUUGCAGAUUUGAUAAGGGCAGAGCGGAGAUAAAUAGGGAAGAAGAUGGUGGAUAGGAUUGAAUUCAUGCAGGUCUUUUUGCCUCUUUUGAACAGAGAGAGAAGGUAUCUCAUAAUGUAAAUUAACACUUGCAUCAUAGAGAAUUAGUCUCUUCCUUCAUCUUCUACCCAUCUUUUGGUUUGGGAGAGAGUAGAAACAGUUUAUAAUGUUAUGUACAGAAAAGUCUCUACUCCUCCACCCUCAUUUUUUUCUUUGUUCCCUCCUCCUUGUGGCAUAUAUUUAGGGCCUUUUCCUCUAACUUCUCUUGUAGGUUUAGGUUAAUUUGAUGAUGUAUCAUUGUUCUGUCUCUUCAAUCUCUUAUGGUUUAAAAAAAAAAAAAGUUCAAAUUGCUUCCAAUAACAUUGUCUUGUAUACACAUAAACAUUAGAUUACAUAGUUCAUUUCUAGAAUAGUUAAACACUAUGUUACAAAAGCUCAUCUUCAUAAUUCAUUUCUAGAAUAGUUAAAACACUACUAUGUUACAAAAGCUUAUCUUCUGUUUUAUUGUCUUAAAAUCAAUUUCUCUCUAGUUAGAAAGAAGAAUCAAAGGCAUUGUUGAGAAACUGAAGAAGCUGAGCUUGAGAACUCUGAAUCAAAUCAAUCCUUCUAAUCUCCAUCUCCUUACGAAGCUUCACUGUCUCUUUAGCAAACUCCAUCUUCUUCUUCUCCAUUACCAUAACUCUCUCAGCAAACGCUCUAAUCUCCGCCGCAACAGCUCUCACUCCUUUCCUCCGCCUCUCACCACCAU
RNAcentral lists this long non-coding RNA (812 nucleotides) under Capsella grandiflora. RNAcentral's name for it is "long non-coding RNA (CGRA_LNC001428)". Lineage: Eukaryota; Viridiplantae; Streptophyta; Magnoliopsida; Brassicales; Brassicaceae. The record is from RNAcentral.